CAUUGUAGGCUUUGGAAACUGUUUAACUNGAGUGCAGAAGGGGAGAGUGGAAUUCCAUGUGUAGCGGUGAAAUGCGUAGAUAUAUGGAGGAACACCGGUGGCGAAAGCGGCUCUCUGGUCUGUAACUGACGCUGAGGCUCGAAAGCGUGGGGAGCGAACAGGAUUAGAUACCCUGGUAGUNCACGCCGUAAACGAUGAGUGCUAGGUGUUAGGUCCUUUCCGGGACUUAGUGCCGCAGCUAACGCAUUAAGCACUCCGCCUGGGGAGUACGACCGCAAGGUUGAAACUCAAAGGAAUUGACGGGGGCCCGCACAAGCGGUGGAGCAUGUGGUUUAAUUCGAAGCAACGCGAAGAACCUUACCAGGUCUUGACAUCCCGAUGCCCGCUCUAGAGAUAGAGCUUUACUUCGGUACAUCGGUGACAGGUGGUGCAUGGUUGUCGUCAGCUCGUGUCGUGAGAUGUUGGGUUAAGUCCCGCAACGAGCGCAACCCUUAUUGUUAGUUGCCAUCAUUCAGUUGGGCACUCUAGCGAGACUGCCGGUAAUAAACCGGAGGAAGGUGGGGAUGACGUCAAAUCAUCAUGCCCCUUAUGACCUGGGCUACACACGUGCUACAAUGGCUGGUACAACGAGUCGCAAGCCGGUGACGGCAAGCUAAUCUCUGAAAGCCAGUCUCAGUUCGGAUUGUAGGCUGCAACUCGCCUACAUGAAGUCGGAAUCGCUAGUAAUCGCGGAUCAGCACGCCGCGGUGAAUACGUUCCCGGGCCUUGUACACACCGCCC
Molecule: ribosomal RNA, 780 nt
Filed under: uncultured bacterium
Lineage: Bacteria
Description: bacterial SSU rRNA
Rfam family: Bacterial small subunit ribosomal RNA
Source: RNAcentral